RNAcentral lists this ribosomal RNA (455 nucleotides) under uncultured bacterium. RNAcentral describes it as "partial 16S ribosomal RNA". It matches the Rfam family "Bacterial small subunit ribosomal RNA", at positions 339 to 795 of the family's 1533-position model. The record is from RNAcentral.
CUACGGGAGGCUCCAGUCGAGAAUAUUUGACAAUGGGCGGAAGCCUGAUCAAGCGACGCCGCGUGCAGGAAGACGCUUUUCGGAGUGUAAACUGCUUUUCAUGGGGAUGAAGAUCGCCUUUUGGUGGUUUGACAGUACCCAUGGAAUAAGGAACGGCUAACUUCGUGCCAGCAGCAGCGGUAAUACGAAGGUUCCGAGCGUUAUCCGGAUUUAUUGGGCGUAAAGGGUGUGUAGGGGGCUAUGUGCGUCUGUUGUUAAAACUCACUGCUCAACGGUGAGAUCGCGAUGGAUACGGCAUAGCUAGAGGAUGCGAGAGGCUUGCGGAACGCACGGUGUAGGGGUGAAAUCCGUUGAUAUCGUGCGGAACACCAAAGGCGAAGGCAGCAAGCUGGCGCAUUUCUGACCCUGAGACACGAAAGCGUGGGGAGCAAAAAGGAUUAGAUACCCCUGUAGUC